CGGGGUGUAGCGCAGCUUGGUAGCGCAUCCGCUUUGGGAGCGGAAGGCCGCAGUUUCAAAUCCUGUCACCCCGACCA
Molecule: transfer RNA, 77 nt
Filed under: Mycobacterium tuberculosis
Lineage: Bacteria; Bacillati; Actinomycetota; Actinomycetes; Mycobacteriales; Mycobacteriaceae
Description: tRNA-Pro(tgg)
Rfam family: tRNA
About the family: Transfer RNA (tRNA) molecules are approximately 80 nucleotides in length. Their secondary structure includes four short double-helical elements and three loops (D, anti-codon, and T loops).
Source: RNAcentral